GUACACACCGCCCGUCACACCAUGGGAGUCGGAAAUGCCCGAAGUCAGUGACCCAACCACAACGUGAACUUCGUUCGCGUGGAGGGAGCUGCCGAAGGUGGAGCCGGUAACUGGGGUGAAGUCGUAACAAGGUAUC
RNAcentral lists this ribosomal RNA (136 nucleotides) under uncultured bacterium. RNAcentral's name for it is "partial 16S ribosomal RNA". It matches the Rfam family "Bacterial small subunit ribosomal RNA", at positions 1383 to 1500 of the family's 1533-position model. The record is from RNAcentral.